GGAGCUCUCUUGGAUGCAUCUGAGACAUCCACCUACCUUUAGACUAAAGGUCCUUCCUUGAAGGAAAGCUAGGAUAGUUUAUGCAUAAUUUUUAAAAAUUUUUCUUGCAACAAAAGCAAACUAGAUUAAACUAUUUAAUCUACCAUACACUAGAUCUAAUCUAAAACUGCCUAAGUUAGGAUCUUAUGACUUAAACAUGCAUGUGUAAUUUGAAAAUAAUAUCUAAAAUAAUAUAUUUAAUCUAAAAUAUGAUAG
This 255-nucleotide long non-coding RNA is filed under the name Elaeis guineensis (African oil palm). RNAcentral describes it as "long non-coding RNA (EGUI_LNC030986)". The record is from RNAcentral. Lineage: Eukaryota; Viridiplantae; Streptophyta; Magnoliopsida; Arecales; Arecaceae.